AGACUCCUACGGGAGGCAGCAGUAAGGAAUAUUGGGCAAUGGACGCAAGUCUGACCCAGCCAUGCCGCGUGCAGGAAGACGGCCCUAUGGGUUGUAAACUGCUUUUAUCAGGGAAUAAACCCCCGGAUGUAUCCGGGGCUGAAUGUACCUGAAGAAUAAGCAUCGGCUAACUCCGUGCCAGCAGCCGCGGUAAUACGGAGGAUGCAAGCGUUAUCCGGAUUCAUUGGGUUUAAAGGGUGCGCAGGCGGAUUAUUAAGUCAGUGGUGAAAUCCUACAGCUCAACUGUAGAACUGCCAUUGAUACUGAUAAUCUUGAGUAUAUUUGAAGUGGGCGGAAUGUAGCAUGUAGCGGUGAAAUGCAUAGAUAUGCUACAGAACACCAAUUGCGAAGGCAGCUCACUAAACUAUAACUGACGCUCAUGCACGAAAGCGUGGGGAUCAAACAGGAUUAGAUACCCUGGUAGUCCACGCUGUAAACGAUGAUUACUCGUUGUUGGCGAUACACAGUCAGCGACCAAGCGAAAGUGAUAAGUAAUCCACCUGGGGAGUACGAUCGCAAGGUUGAAACUCAAAGGAAUUGACGGGGGCCCGCACAAGCGGUGGAGCAUGUGGUUUAAUUCGAUGAUACGCGAGGAACCUUACCUGGGCUCAAAUGUAUGUUGACGUAUUCUGAAAGGGAUACUUCUUCGGACAAUAUACAAGGUGCUGCAUGGUUGUCGUCAGCUCGUGCCGUGAGGUGUCGGGUUAAGUCCCAUAACGAGCGCAACCCCUAUCAUUAGUUGCCAUCAGGUCAAGCUGGGGACUCUAAUGAAACUGCCUACGCAAGUAGUGAGGAAGGUGGGGAUGACGUCAAAUCAGCACGGCCCUUACGUCCAGGGCUACACACGUGCUACAAUGGCCGGUACAAAGGGCAGCUACCUGGUGACAGGAUGCU
Molecule: ribosomal RNA, 933 nt
Filed under: uncultured bacterium
Lineage: Bacteria
Description: bacterial SSU rRNA
Rfam family: Bacterial small subunit ribosomal RNA
Source: RNAcentral